RNAcentral lists this ribosomal RNA (501 nucleotides) under uncultured bacterium. RNAcentral's name for it is "bacterial SSU rRNA". It matches the Rfam family "Bacterial small subunit ribosomal RNA", at positions 1029 to 1529 of the family's 1533-position model. The record is from RNAcentral.
AAGUGACAGGUGGUGCAUGGUUGUCGUCAGCUCGUGUCGUGAGAUGUUGGGUUAAGUCCCGCAACGAGCGCAACCCUUAAGCUUAGUUGCCAGCAUUAAGUUGGGCACUCUAAGUUGACUGCCGGUGACAAACCGGAGGAAGGUGGGGAUGACGUCAAAUCAUCAUGCCCCUUAUGAUUUGGGCUACACACGUGCUACAAUGGACAAUACAAAGGGCAGCUAAACCGUGAGGUCAUGCAAAUCCCAUAAAGUUGUUCUCAGUUCGGAUUGUAGUCUGCAACUCGACUACAUGAAGCUGGAAUCGCUAGUAAUCGUAGAUCAGCAUGCUACGGUGAAUACGUUCCCGGGUCUUGUACACACCGCCCGUCACACCACGAGAGUCUGUAACACCCGAAGCCGGUGGAGUAACCAUUUAUGGAGCUAGCCGUCGAAGGUGGGACAAAUGAUUGGGGUGAAGUCGUAACAAGGUAGCCGUAUCGGAAGGUGCGGCUGGAUCACCUC